UGCAGUCGAACGAUGAAGCUUCUAGCUUGCUAGAAGUGGAUUAGUGGCGCACGGGUGAGUAAGGUAUAGUUAAUCUGCCCUACACAAGAGGACAACAGUUGGAAACGACUGCUAAUACUCUAUACUCCUGCUUAACACAAGUUGAGUAGGGAAAGUUUUUCGGUGUAGGAUGAGACUAUAUAGUAUCAGCUAGUUGGUAAGGUAAUGGCUUACCAAGGCUAUGACGCUUAACUGGUCUGAGAGGAUGAUCAGUCACACUGGAACUGAGACACGGUCCAGACUCCUACGGGAGGCAGCAGUAGGGAAUAUUGCGCAAUGGGGGAAACCCUGACGCAGCAACGCCGCGUGGAGGAUGACACUUUUCGGAGCGUAAACUCCUUUUCUUAGGGAAGAAUUCUGACGGUACCUAAGGAAUAAGCACCGGCUAACUCCGUGCCAGCAGCCGCGGUAAUACGGAGGGUGCAAGCGUUACUCGGAAUCACUGGGCGUAAAGGGCGCGUAGGCGGAUUAUCAAGUCUCUUGUGAAAUCUAAUGGCUUAACCAUUAAACUGCUUGGGAAACUGAUAGUCUAGAGUGAGGGAGAGGCAGAUGGAAUUGGUGGUGUAGGGGUAAAAUCCGUAGAUAUCACCAAGAAUACCCAUUGCGAAGGCGAUCUGCUGGAACUCAACUGACGCUAAGGCGCGAAAGCGUGGGGAGCAAACAGGAUUAGAUACCCUGGUAGUCCACGCCCUAAACGAUGUACACUAGUUGUUGGGGUGCUAGUCAUCUCAGUAAUGCAGCUAACGCAUUAAGUGUACCGCCUGGGGAGUACGGUCGCAAGAUUAAAACUCAAAGGAAUAGACGGGGACCCGCACAAGCGGUGGAGCAUGUGGUUUAAUUCGAAGAUACGCGAAGAACCUUACCUGGGCUUGAUAUCCUAAGAACCUUUUAGAGAUAAGAGGGUGCUAGCUUGCUAGAACUUAGAGACAGGUGCUGCACGGCUGUCGUCAGCUCGUGUCGUGAGAUGUUGGGUUAAGUCCCGCAACGAGCGCAACCCACGUAUUUAGUUGCUAACGGUUCGGCCGAGCACUCUAAAUAGACUGCCUUCGUAAGGAGGAGGAAGGUGUGGACGACGUCAAGUCAUCAUGGCCCUUAUGCCCAGGGCGACACACGUGCUACAAUGGCAUAUACAAUGAGACGCAAUACCGCGAGGUGGAGCAAAUCUAUAAAAUAUGUCCCAGUUCGGAUUGUUCUCUGCAACUCGAGAGCAUGAAGCCGGAAUCGCUAGUAAUCGUAGAUCAGCCAUGCUACGGUGAAUACGUUCCCGGGUCUUGUACUCACCGCCCGUCACACCAUGGGAGUUGAUUUCACUCGAAGCCGGAAUACUAAACUAGUACCG
RNAcentral lists this ribosomal RNA (1378 nucleotides) under Campylobacter jejuni. RNAcentral describes it as "bacterial SSU rRNA". It matches the Rfam family "Bacterial small subunit ribosomal RNA". The record is from RNAcentral. Lineage: Bacteria; Pseudomonadati; Campylobacterota; Epsilonproteobacteria; Campylobacterales; Campylobacteraceae.